CAGUCGCCGCGGUAAUACGGAGGAUCCAAGCGUUAUCCGGAAUCAUUGGGUUUAAAGGGUCCGUAGGCGGUCUUGUAAGUCAGUGGUGAAAGCCCAUCGCUCAACGGUGGAACGGCCAUUGAUACUGCAGGACUUGAAUUAUUGGGAAGUAACUAGAAUAUGUAGUGUAGCGGUGAAAUGCUUAGAGAUUACAUGGAAUACCAAUUGCGAAGGCAGGUUACUACAAAUUGAUUGACGCUGAUGGACGAAAGCGUGGGUAGCGAACAGGAUUAGAUACCCCCGUAGUCCCUGUCUCUUAUAC
RNAcentral lists this ribosomal RNA (301 nucleotides) under uncultured bacterium. RNAcentral describes it as "partial 16S ribosomal RNA". It matches the Rfam family "Bacterial small subunit ribosomal RNA", at positions 509 to 807 of the family's 1533-position model. The record is from RNAcentral.